GGAUGUGAGGGCGAUCUGGCUGUGACACCUGUCACUCUGAUCUGGCUGGCUAGGCGGGUGUCCCCUUCCUCCCUCACCGCUCCAUGUGCGUCUCUCCCAAAGCUGUGCACUCGGUCUAGGAGGACAGCCUUUUCCGAAUACAGACAGACCCGUCUUCUGUCCAGGGUAUAGGAGUAGCUGCGCUCCCCUGCUAGAACCUCCAAACAAGCUCUCAAGGUCCAUCUGUAGGAGAACGUAGGGUAGGCAAGCUUCCAGGACUCCAGACACAUCCAAAUGAGGCACUGCAUGUGGCAGUCUGCCUUACUUU
This 307-nucleotide small nuclear RNA is filed under the name Erinaceus europaeus (western European hedgehog). Its description in RNAcentral is "7SK RNA". It matches the Rfam family "7SK RNA". Rfam says of the family: 7SK was discovered as an abundant small nuclear RNA in the mid-70s but a possible function has only recently been suggested. Two independent studies have found that 7SK RNA binds the CDK9/cyclin T complex (known as elongation factor P-TEFb). Lineage: Eukaryota; Metazoa; Chordata; Mammalia; Eulipotyphla; Erinaceidae. The record is from Rfam by way of RNAcentral.